Molecule: long non-coding RNA, 812 nt
Organism: Helianthus annuus (common sunflower)
Lineage: Eukaryota; Viridiplantae; Streptophyta; Magnoliopsida; Asterales; Asteraceae
Exons: 2
Source: RefSeq, a predicted model, not a curated record
GUAAUUUAAUUAGUUAUUGUUAUCUAGUAGUAGAAUGUUAUAGAAAAUUUUAUUUGUUUGAAUAAGCAACUAGUAGGUUUAUAUAUGUUUUAAAAAGAUUGAUUUCAGUUUUUUUAGAAUAUAUUUAUUCUUCAUUAUAUAAGUUUUAUGAUGGCAGAGAAAUCCCGAGACUCAGCUGCCACCUAGCCCAUUAGAAGUUUACUACAAGCUGCACUAUAAUGCCAAGAAAAAAUGAUGGCUAAAUGAAGAUUCACAUAUUGUAUAUGAUAAUAUUUGUAAACAUAAAGAGGCGGCCAUGGCUAGACUAAAUACCGAAGGAACCAUCGUUACUACUGCUAUGGAACACGACGUGGAGAGAAAAGCCAUCAAAAGUGUAUGUGGCAGGGCUAAAACAAUACAAUCAGCAUGGGAGGUAGGUGUUGGUCCUCUGUAUUAAGGAAAAAAGAUAACUGGAUGAAAUCGGCAGUCGAAUCAUCUCAACGAGAUUCAACUGAGAACGAAGAUUUGAGAAAUGAGGUUACUGAACUCAAGGAGGAAUUGAAACAGAGUAACGAAAAAUACGAAAGAGUGACAGAGUUCUUGAGCCGAAAAUAUCCAGAUUUCGAGAGCACAAUAUCUACAAAUGAUGUUGGUGAAGAUGAUGGUUUGAAUGGACUACACAACGAAAGUGACAACACUAUCUAGGCAGUUAGUUAAGACGUUUAUUACUUUUUUUUUCUCUAAUACUCUUCUAAAUUUCAGAAUUGAUGAACUGGUGUUAUUUUGAUUUUCAUUGGCUAUUGUUAUGACAUUAAUGCUUGAGUUUAUUGUGA